Carassius auratus (goldfish) is the source of this 1006-nucleotide long non-coding RNA. RefSeq lists it as uncharacterized. The record is from RefSeq and is a predicted model, not a curated record. NCBI's taxonomy places the organism in Eukaryota, Metazoa, Chordata, Actinopteri, Cypriniformes, Cyprinidae. The transcript is spliced from 2 exons.
UUUUCAAUCAUCUAUCUCCCCAUCCCAGCAAAUUCCAUAACAAAGAGAGUAUGAGUCUGAAAAAGCUAGAGGAACAGAACCGCAAAAGAGGUGUGCCCUACACUUUUAUUCACACUCCAAUUUCCUGCUCUCCAGUCAGAUUAAAGGCAAAAAUAAGCCCUUUAAAAACCCAUAAACAUAUACAUUGACACACAACUAAUUGGUUAACUGGGGCAUUGGGCUCCUCCACUCCUCAAGCGUCAGCUGAAUCUCCAGCAGAGGGUGACAGAUUCAGACUCGGAGGACAAACACAAUCACUGUGCUCAGAUCAGCCUUUUGGAGGCACAGGUGGAAGGUGAGCCCAACGUUUCAUUCGAGUUUGAACUCUACUUGACAUCUGUGGUACACUUUGACCGUAAAAGUGGCGUAGCUGUGCGGUUUUGAUUGGGACAAAAAUCCUAAACCAGAACAUUCAAAUAAAAUUUUCGUAAGCAGUGGUUCUUAACCUUUUUGACUCCACAAGUCCCCCAUUUUUCACAACAAUAUUCAAAGACCCCAUGACUUUUCCAGUUGUUCAUGAAGAAGAAUUAUGGAACAAGUUAUCAUUGUUGAUGAACACUGAUCUACAGUGUGGAAGAGUGUCUGGAUAAUGUGUGUUUUUUAGAGCUUGUGAAGCAAGGAGGACAGUCCAAGCAGUCUGAUAUCCAGUCAUAUCCUUUUAAUAAAAGAAAAAAUGACACUAGAGCAUUUUGUCUAACAGGUUUAUUUUGCAUUGUUUAUUUUUUCUGACGGGUGUGAUAACACUUAAAAAUGAAUAGGCAGCACUUCAGCGGAUGUGGUUGGUUGGGUACAGUUAUAAAACUUAAAAAAAAAAUGACAUUUUAUUUUGAAUAUAUAGACAACAAGGGAAAAAAUGAAAUGGCAGCAGAUAUAUUGUAAAUGAAGGUAACAAUCUCACUUUGUCAUCACAGAUAAAGUGUAUUUGUGUUGUAUAAAAUGACCAGAAACUUUAUCAGUCUUUACUACA